Long non-coding RNA from Pseudopipra pipra, 326 nucleotides. RefSeq lists it as uncharacterized. NCBI's taxonomy places the organism in Eukaryota, Metazoa, Chordata, Aves, Passeriformes, Pipridae. The transcript is spliced from 3 exons. The record is from RefSeq and is a predicted model, not a curated record.
GGUCAAGAUGGCUCUCUACUGCCUCUAGGCCUUUCAUUCCUUCUGAAGCUGCCAACUAUUAAACUAGAGACUAUGAAAGUCACUGACAGAUGGGGAACUGAUACAGACUUGGCUCUGGUCAGUGGUGCAAAUGACACAGUAAACUCAGCAGCACAGGAAGAUCCCAAUUCUCUUAUCACUUGCAUGCCAAUACUGGAACUCUGGAAAGCAAAAUAAGCACUGCUUGGAGCUGCAAAGAAAAUGUGAUGGUUACAAGAGAAGUGUAGGGAGCUUCACUGGACUCAGCAGCAGCAAUCUUCAAAAUGGUAAUAAAAUAUAAAACAUUA